Long non-coding RNA from Panicum hallii, 251 nucleotides. RefSeq lists it as uncharacterized. The transcript is spliced from 3 exons. The record is from RefSeq and is a predicted model, not a curated record. Lineage: Eukaryota; Viridiplantae; Streptophyta; Magnoliopsida; Poales; Poaceae.
CGUAGGGAUACACUGACAUAAAGAAAAGAUCAUUGCUCUCUUCUAUGGAGGAUUACACUACAUUACAUCUUCAAACUGGCAGACCUAUGUGGUCACCAGGGUUUGCUUUUACUAUAUUGAAAAGGUUUAUGCCUGAAGAGAAGCUUGCAGAUGUAAAGGGUGCUACCCUAACAGCUGAUGGAACAGGGGUUGUAUUUGAUGUUCCUGCAGCAGAUGUUGAGGACUACAUUCAAGCUUCUGAGAGUGCUGCG